CCUGUGCUCAAAAGUGGGACUUUUGGAAGGGAAUUGAAUUAUGGGUGCAGGACAGCUGAUUGCUAUUAGAAGGUGCUCAGAGGAGGCAGGCACUGUGGGCGUGGCCCAGAAGGGUGUAGCACUCUUUCUGCUUCCUGUCUGCCAUUGCCGUAAGCAGCUCUCCCCCACCAUGCCCUUCUGCCAUACCAUCCUGCCUCGGAGCCGGAGGACCAUGCAAGGACUGAAACUACUAAAAUGUGAGCCAAAAUACACCUUUCCUCUUUUAAGUUGUGGGUGUCAGGUAUUAUAUCUCAGCGAUGAGGAGGCGACUAAGAUGUGGCCCAUCAUUAUCUAGGUUGAUCUGAGAACAAACCGCAGCACCUGAAAGCACAUGGCCAGCUGAUGGAUGUUUGGCUCUGAUGGGCCAUUUUACAAGAUGCCUUAGGAAGGCAGGGAGUUUCAUCGCGAGUCCUUCAAACUGGUGCUGAGCCACAAACCAGCCAAGAUUGUAGAAUGUGUCACAUUCAGAAAGCAUCAAGCCAAUGCCAGCCCAGGCUGUGCUUCCAGAUGAGCAAGGCCCUCCUUCUGGGUUUGGAUACUGACUGAAGUUUUGCUUUCACGGUGACUGACACCUUCAUAAGGAUUCUAUCAGAUAAAAUUCCAGGUUUUUAAUUGCCAAAAGCCCAAGACCUCAUCUCCUCACACCUUGGCCCCCGACAGAGAAAUCCAAAGCAGAAGCUCUUUUUUUUAGAAAAAAAUUGAACUGACACAUAACAAUUGCAGGCAUUUGUGGUGUGAAUCACAGUGUGAUCGUUCAAUACAUAUGUACAGUGUGUAAAGAUCAGACCAGGUACCUGCUGCUCACCAAUCACCUUCACUUGAGCCAUCCCUGUUUCACUGCAGCAAUGGGAGACAGUUUCUUGGUAUAUUUUCUCAUCUGUGUGGACAGAGUGUAGGAUAUUCUGGGUCCCAACACCACCAGAGGCCCUGGCCCCAGCCAUAGUAGGCUGCAGAUGCAGGUAGGUUGUCUCUCAGAGGGACCCUCAACAAACAGGCAAUGUGAACUGGAAGAGAAAUUCUCGGGCCUGUGUAUUUCAGUUGGACAACUCUAGGGCUCCAUAUGUUGUUCACCACUGUAUUGGAAGAGAACUCCAGUGACCCAGUGCCUAGUAGGCAGAAAACGGCCCCCCAAAGAUGCCCAUGUCCUAACCCCAGAACCUGUGAAUAUGUUCUUUCCUGGCAAAGGAAAUCUUUCAAAUGUGAUUGAAUUCCAAACCUUGACUUGGGGAGCUUAUUCGGGGUUAUCAAUGUGGGCCCAGUCUACUCACAUGGGUCCUUCAAAACAGAGACUUUCUCUCAGAUGUGGACAGAAAGACCCAUGAUAACAGAAAAAGGGUCUGAUGGAUGUAAUAUUGUUGGCUUUGAAGAUGGAAGAAGGGACACAAGCCAAGGAAUGCAAGUAUCUUCUAGAAACUGGGAAAGAGAAAGAAAGGAUCCUUUCCCCUUUAGGAUCUUGAUUUCGGCUCAGUGAGACCUACCUUGGACUUCUGACCUACAGAACUGAAAGGUGCUAAUUUUGUCAAUGUUGUGUUAAGUUGCUACAUUUAUUUUCAUUUGUUACAGCAGCAAAUGAUUAAUUAAUAUGCUCAAGGGUACUGGUACUAAAUAUGCACUUACAUUGGCUUUUUCCCCUUCCCUAUCUCUCUCCACUCUCUAACUCCUACUUUCCAGUAUUACAUUUGCCUACACCCAAGUCCUAUCCUCAGGUGCUGUUUAAAAGAGUACCCAAGCUCAAAUCAUGGAUAGGCUUUCUACUGACCUUUGAGGGUCUCUGGUUUUCCCACCCCCAUACUUCACCUUCAAUGAUCCUGGAAUUCAUUCAGGGAGCCACAAAGAUCCUUAAAACUCCAAGCUUCUAGGCAAAUUUACAAGUUAGUUUAAAAACCUAUACCUUUUUCAAGUGAAUAAUUAAUGUUAUAUUUGGAUUCCAGUCAUUUAAAAACUGUGAUCAUUUUACAUGACAUAUUUUAUUGAUUUAUUAUUAUUUCUCAAUAAACAUUGUCACCGUGAUGUGUAUGUUUUGGAAGGAACUCGAAGCCUGAAGAAACAUUAUUUCCAACUACAAUAUUUUAACUGAGCUCACCUCUUUUGAAAUUGCCUGAUGAUAAAACUGAUACUGUUAAGAAAUAUUAGUCAUCCCUGGCAUUAGGGAGAACAUUAUCCUCAGAAGUAUUCAGCACCGGGAUCUUCAUGAGUCCAACAAAGGGCAUGUCUAUGACAACUGUUUGAUUAUUUACCUUCCUCCCAUCUUCAAAUUUCAGCCCACAUGCAGGAGUUAGGUAGUGAGUCACAAGGCAGCAUGGAUUCUGAGAUGUGGCAGCUGAUCUGGUGGCAGACACCAUGCAAGAGUCUUAUACUACCUAACAGGCUCCGGUCCCCUCCAAGCUUCUUUGUGACACAGUUUUUCAAUACUACUAUUGCCC
Molecule: long non-coding RNA, 2462 nt
Organism: Heterocephalus glaber (naked mole-rat)
Lineage: Eukaryota; Metazoa; Chordata; Mammalia; Rodentia; Bathyergidae
Source: Ensembl